Molecule: ribosomal RNA, 253 nt
Filed under: uncultured bacterium
Lineage: Bacteria
Description: partial 16S ribosomal RNA
Rfam family: Bacterial small subunit ribosomal RNA
Source: RNAcentral
UACGUAGGGGGCAAGCGUUGUCCGGAAUCAUUGGGCGUAAAGCGCGCGUAGGCGGCCCGGUAAGUCCGCUCUGAAAGUCCAGGGCCCAACCCUGGAAAGCGGGUGGAUACUGCCGGGCUAGAAUCCGGAAGAGGCGAGUGGAAUUCCUGGUGUAGCGGUGGAAUGCGCAGAUAUCGGGAGGAACACCAGUGGCGAAGGCGGCUUUCUGGGCCUUACCUGACGCUGAGACGCGAAAGCGUGGGGAGCGAACCGG